UCCGCACGAGCGCACCCUUAUCCUUAGUUGCCAGCACGUAAUGGUGGGAACUCUAAGGAGACCGCCGGUGACAAACCGGAGGAAGGUGGGGACGACGUCAAGUCAUCAUGGCCCUUACGAGAUGGGCUACACACGUGCUACAAUGGCAAGUACAAAGGGUUGCAAACUCGCGAGAGUAAGCGGAUCCCAUAAAGCUUGUCGUAGUCCGGAUUGGAGUCUGCAACUCGACUCCAUGAAGUCGGAAUCGCUAGUAAUCGUGGAUCAGAAUGCCACGGUGAAUACGUUCCCGGGCCUUGUACACACCGCCCGUCACACCAUGGGAGUGGGCUGCAAAAGAAGUGGAUAGCUUAACCUUCGGGAGGGCGUUCACCACUUUGUGGUUCAUGACUGGGGUGAAGUCGUAACAAGGUAGCCGUAGGGGAACCUGCGGCUGGAUCACCUCCUU
Molecule: ribosomal RNA, 445 nt
Filed under: uncultured Gammaproteobacteria bacterium
Lineage: Bacteria; Pseudomonadati; Pseudomonadota; Gammaproteobacteria
Description: bacterial SSU rRNA
Rfam family: Bacterial small subunit ribosomal RNA
Source: RNAcentral